Molecule: ribosomal RNA, 322 nt
Filed under: uncultured eukaryote
Lineage: Eukaryota
Description: partial 18S ribosomal RNA
Rfam family: Eukaryotic small subunit ribosomal RNA
Source: RNAcentral
CCCUUAGAUGUCCUGGGCCGCACGCGCGCUACACUGACAUGUUCAACAAGUUUCUCCUAGUUCGACAGGACUGGGAAAUCUUUGAACGCAUGUCGUGAUAGGGAUAGAUCAUUGCAAUUAUUGAUCUUGAACGAGGAAUUCCUAGUAAACGCGAGUCAUCAGCUCGCAUUGAUUACGUCCCUGCCCUUUGUACACACUGCCCGUCGCACCUACCGAUUGAAUGUUUCGGUGAAGAUUCCGGAUAGGACUGAUUUGAUUUAUUUCAUUUCUGACCUAAAAGCUAUCUAAACCUCAACAUUUAGAGGAAGGUGAAGUCGUAACA